RNAcentral lists this long non-coding RNA (1121 nucleotides) under Homo sapiens (human). Its description in RNAcentral is "HSALNT0327569". The record is from RNAcentral. Lineage: Eukaryota; Metazoa; Chordata; Mammalia; Primates; Hominidae.
GGACAGGUGGCUUUAUAAGAAGAGGAAAAGAGACCUGAGUUAGCACACUCAAACUCCUCACCAUGCGAUGCUCUGUGCCUCCUUGGGACUCUGCAGAGAGUCCCUACCAAUAAGAAGGCUCUCACCAGAUGUGGCCCCUCAACUUUGGACUGCUUAGCUUCCGUAACUGGAAAUGCCACAAGACUAGGCCGUGCAACAUUUCCGCAGUGCUCCUCGCUACAAAGACAUUCCCCUAAGGCUGGUGGGCAACUCAACACUCAGCUCAGUACGUGGUCAGCUCGUCCUCCAUAGGAGCCUUAUGCCUUGGUGAGUCUUGCUCUGUCACCCAGGCUGGAGUGCAGUGGUGUGAUCUCAGCUCACCACAACCUUCACAUCCUGGGUUCAAGCGAUUCUUGUGCCUCAGCCUCCCAAGCAGCUGGGACCACAGAGGAGAUCUCUGAAGAAAUUGCUGAUGAAAGUCCAACAGGCUCUUCCAGUUUGUCUGGUCGGUCACAUUUGCUGAAACCUGGAGGAAUUGUUAGUGGAAGCUCAACAGGCCUGACUCAGUCUGACUGUCCAUUCUUCUGGAAGCUGCAGAGAAAAGAAACCUGGAAACCUUAUAUGCUGACAAAAAGGGACACAAUUGGAUAUGAUGGUUAUUUUACCAAGGUUUUGAAAUGUCGUGCUUUCAAAUAUAAACAGACUGCUUUAAGGAAUCGAAGUUGACUUAUAGAGCCAAUAAAAGCCCUGCAGGAAAGCUGGCCUCAUACUUUGUCUACACAGUCUCUGUACAGGUUUCCUGACCUGUGCUUCCAAGUUGUCUGAGGAGCCUUAUGAAGAGGCUCACGUGGUGAGGAACGGAAAUUUACUGAAUAAGCUCAGAGGGAGAUUCUCCAGCUCCUUCAGAUGACUGCAGCCCUGGCCAACAAUCUGACUAUAAUUUCAUGAGAGAGUCAGAGAGGGAACCAUCCAGCUAAGCCACUCUCAGAUUCCUGACCCACAGAAAUUACGUGAGACUAAUGCUUGUUUAAAGCUGCUAAGUUUUAGGAUAAUUCAUUAUGUAGCAUUAGAUAACUAAUAUUAGUUCUUCUCUGUAUUUAAAUUUUUUCCCCCAAAAAAGAGAAAAAGCAUCUCUAUGUAAA